This 353-nucleotide ribosomal RNA is filed under the name Myurella andamanica. RNAcentral describes it as "partial 12S ribosomal RNA". The record is from RNAcentral. Lineage: Eukaryota; Metazoa; Mollusca; Gastropoda; Neogastropoda; Terebridae.
UACCAGAGUACUAUGAAUCUUUAAAAAUUUAAAACUCAAAGAACUUGGCGGUGUUUUAGACCACCCAGGGGAACCUGUCUCGUAAUCGAUAAUCCACGUUACACCUGACCUCUUUUUGUUUUCAGUUUGUAUACCGUUGUCGUCAGGUAACUUUUUAGAAAUUAGGAGUUAGCAAUGAAAAUAUUGAUAAUUUAUUAUGUCAAAUCAAGGUGCAGCUAAUAAAGGGGGGAGGAUGGGUUACAAUUAUAUAAUUUAUAAUGACGGGUAAAUAUAUGGAUAUGUGUUGAAUUAUAAGGAGGACUUGGAAGUAAAUUAGAGUAUAUAGAUAAUUUGAAUUAGGCUCUGAAACGUGU